RNAcentral lists this microRNA precursor (202 nucleotides) under Oryza brachyantha (malo sina). RNAcentral's name for it is "MIR812 microRNA precursor family". It matches the Rfam family "MIR812 microRNA precursor family". Lineage: Eukaryota; Viridiplantae; Streptophyta; Magnoliopsida; Poales; Poaceae. The record is from Rfam by way of RNAcentral.
AAUAAGAUCAUUUUUCAGUUUUUUUGAUACUUUGACUCUUCGUCUUAUUUGAAAUUUUUUCGCGAUUAAUAUUUUUAUUCUUACUGGCCGAUAAAACAUGAAUAGUUUUAUGCGUGACUAAUUUUUUUAAUUUUUUAUAUAAUUUUUUUAAAUAAGACGAAUGAUCAAACGUUGGACAUGAAAAACGAAAAAUAAGGUUAUU